GGGGUGGGUGGUUUUAUAAUGUUAUAGGCUCAAAUCAGGAUUGUCAGGCAGGAAAUCGGUGAGAUACACCGGAAUUGGAGUUGGCCCUACUGCAGCGCUUAGGACGCUGUCCCGUAGGGGUCCGCCGGUUCAAAUCCGGUCCCGCGCA
This 148-nucleotide transfer RNA is filed under the name Halapricum desulfuricans. RNAcentral describes it as "tRNA-Leu". The record is from RNAcentral. Lineage: Archaea; Methanobacteriati; Methanobacteriota; Halobacteria; Halobacteriales; Haloarculaceae.